AGACGAGCUGAACGCCAACCAGGAGAUCAGAAUGAUCGCAUCUGCUCCUGCCACUUUAAGGAUGGUAAGAAGGAGGGGGACCCUGCAUAUUUUGCAUGGAAUGAAGGAAAGGCCAUGGAUUUCUCUGAUCCUGAAUGUACAAAAAGGAGGAAAAAACUCAAAAGUGAGGAGUCCCUGUCAUCUUCACAGAUGGACCAGUUGCAGAUUCCACAAGCACCAAAAUGUCAAUAUCAAGAAAAAUUGAUAUCAGAGCACAACUACUGAGCAUCCUGCACAUUUAACUGUACUAA
This is a long non-coding RNA of Saccostrea cuccullata (small rock oyster), 290 nucleotides long. RefSeq lists it as uncharacterized. The transcript is spliced from 3 exons. NCBI's taxonomy places the organism in Eukaryota, Metazoa, Mollusca, Bivalvia, Ostreida, Ostreidae. The record is from RefSeq and is a predicted model, not a curated record.